This 253-nucleotide ribosomal RNA is filed under the name uncultured bacterium. RNAcentral describes it as "partial 16S ribosomal RNA". It matches the Rfam family "Bacterial small subunit ribosomal RNA", at positions 524 to 776 of the family's 1533-position model. The record is from RNAcentral.
UACGAACCGUCCAAACGUUAUUCGGAUUCAUUGGGCUUAAAGGGUACGUAGGCGGCUCUAUCAGUCGGGUGUGAAAUCCCUCGGCUCAACCGAGGAACUGCGCCCGAUACUGUAGUGCUUGAGGGAGACAGAGGUAAGCGGAACUGAUGGUGGAGCGGUGAAAUGCGUUGAUAUCAGCAGGAACACCGGUGGCGAAAGCGGCUUACUGGGUCGCUUCUGACGCUGAGGUACGAAAGCUAGGGGAGCGAACGGG